GUCUGGGAUUGUGUCAUUCCCUACUCAGAAUCCUCUAUCUGUUCAGUACUGUAUCUUGCAAUAUCCAUCAUCACAUUAUCAAACAGGGUGGACAUAAUACAGCCAACACUUGAUCAACACUCGUGUCCUGAAGUAAAUGUUGACCUGGUAGUGAAGAGGACAGACCACGUGUGGCCUUAUGAGACGUGUGCUUGGGGUCACGUUUAGAUCCCAGACCGACCACUUAUCAGCUUAAUUUGAUCUUCCUAAUCAAAAAUGCCAACUUUCCCAGAUGCUACUGUGAAGAUCCAAGCAGAAGUUCUUCUUCAUUAUCUCUCUCUAUGCUUUACGAACUCAUUGAUUCACUCGUGCAUCCAUUCAAUAAACCUUGCCA
This is a long non-coding RNA of Bos taurus (domestic cattle), 373 nucleotides long. NCBI's taxonomy places the organism in Eukaryota, Metazoa, Chordata, Mammalia, Artiodactyla, Bovidae. The record is from Ensembl.